AAGAUAAAGUGCCUGAAAAUAGGGUCACCAUGAUAGGGUGGAUAAUGUGUAAUUAUACACCUUUAUUA
RNAcentral lists this transfer RNA (68 nucleotides) under Atrocalopteryx atrata. Its description in RNAcentral is "tRNA-Ile". The record is from RNAcentral. Lineage: Eukaryota; Metazoa; Arthropoda; Insecta; Odonata; Calopterygidae.